UGAGGAAUAUUGCACAAUGGGCGAAAGCCUGAUGCAGCGACGCCGCGUGGGUGAAGAAGGUUUUCGGAUCGUAAAACCCUUUUCUGUGUGACGAGAACGGACGGUAGCACAGGAAUAAGUCUCGGCUAACUACGUGCCAGCAGCCGCGGUAAAACGUAGGAGACAAACGUUAUCCGGAGUUACUGGGCGUAAAGGGCGUGCAGGCGGCAGUCUAAGUCUGGCGUGAAAUAUCCCGGCUCAACCGGGGAAGGUCGUCGGAUACUGGGCAGCUAGAGGACGGUAGAGGCGUGUGGAAUUCCGGGUGUAGUGGUGAAAUGCGUAGAUAUUCGGAAGAACACCAGUGGCGAAGGCGACAUACUGGCUCAUUACUGACGCUGAGGCGCGAAAGCGUGGGGAGCAAACAGGAUUAGAUACCCCCGUAGUCCCUGAGCGGGCUGGCAAGGCGCAU
RNAcentral lists this ribosomal RNA (448 nucleotides) under uncultured bacterium. RNAcentral's name for it is "bacterial SSU rRNA". It matches the Rfam family "Bacterial small subunit ribosomal RNA", at positions 355 to 825 of the family's 1533-position model. The record is from RNAcentral.